RNAcentral lists this ribosomal RNA (471 nucleotides) under uncultured bacterium. RNAcentral describes it as "bacterial SSU rRNA". It matches the Rfam family "Bacterial small subunit ribosomal RNA", at positions 30 to 497 of the family's 1533-position model. The record is from RNAcentral.
AUUGAACGCUGGCGGCAUGCUUUACACAUGCAAGUCGAACGGUAACAGGCCGCAAGGUGCUGACGAGUGGCGAACGGGUGAGUAAUGUAUCGGAACGUGCCCAGUCGUGGGGGAUAACGCAGCGAAAGCUGUGCUAAUACCGCAUACGAUCUAUGGAUGAAAGCGGGGGACCGUAAGGCCUCGCGCGAUUGGAGCGGCCGAUAUCAGAUUAGGUAGUUGGUGGGGUAAAGGCUCACCAAGCCAACGAUCUGUAGCUGGUCUGAGAGGACGACCAGCCACACUGGGACUGAGACACGGCCCAGACUCCUACGGGAGGCAGCAGUGGGGAAUUUUGGACAAUGGGCGCAAGCCUGAUCCAGCAAUGCCGCGUGCAGGACGAAGGCCUUCGGGUUGUAAACUGCUUUGUACGGUAGCGAAAGGACUCUCUCUAAUACAGGAGUUCAUGACGGUACCGUAAGAAUAAGCACCGGC